CUGCCAGUAGUCAUACGCUUGCCUCAAAGGUUAAGCCAUGCAUGUCUAAGUUUAAAUAUUUUACCUUAACACUGCGAAUAGCUCAUUAUAUCAGUUAUAGUUCAUUUGGCAGUCUUUUACUACUUGGAUAACCGUAGUAAUUCUAGAGCUAAUACAUGCAUCAAAGCCCAACUGGGCUGUAUUUAUUAGAUUGAAACCAGUCCUUGCCUUGUGCAAGGUCUCAUGGUGAUUCAUAAUAAACAUUAGCGGAUUGCUGACACUAGUUAGCAACGUACCAUUCAAGUUUCUGCCCUAUCAGCUUUGGACAAUAAGGUAUUGACUUAUUGUGGCUUUAACGGGUAACGGGGAAUUGGGGUUUGAUUCCGGAGAGGGGGCCUGAGAGAUGGCCACCACAUCCAAGGAAGGCAGCAGGCGCGUAAAUUACCCAAUACUAACACAGUGAGGUAGUGACAAUAAAUAACAAUGCCGGGCCUUUGAUGGUUUGGCAAUUGGAAUGAGAACAAUUUAAAUCCCUUAUCAAGGAUCAAUUGGAGGGCAAGUCUGGUGCCAGCAGCCGCGGUAAUUCCAGCUCCAAUAGCGUAUAUUAAAUUUGUUGCAGUUAAAAAGCUCGUAGUUGAAUCUAUGACCUAUUGUUUGCGAGUGUGCACCGCAAGGUGCCACUAGUAACACUGGUCACUAUUGGUCCGACCCUGUGUGACAUUGAUUUGUGGCGCAGGGACAAGGCCAUCUUUUACUGUGAGGAAAUUAGAGUGUUCAAAGCAGGCAGUUAUUGCCAGUGAAUAUGUUAGCAUGGAAUAAUAUGAUACGAUUUUGUUUCAAUUUUAUUGGUUUGUGUUGCAAAAUAAUGAUUGACAGGGACAAUUGGGGGUAUUUGUAUUUCGAAGUCAGAGGUGAAAUUCUUGGAUUUUCGGAAGACAAACUACUGCGAAAGCAUCGACCAGGGAUGUUUUCUUUAAUCAAGAACGAAAGUUAGGGGAUCGAACAUG
Molecule: ribosomal RNA, 986 nt
Filed under: Luticola permuticopsis
Lineage: Eukaryota; Bacillariophyta; Bacillariophyceae; Naviculales; Stauroneidaceae
Description: SSU rRNA
Rfam family: Eukaryotic small subunit ribosomal RNA
Source: RNAcentral